This 484-nucleotide ribosomal RNA is filed under the name uncultured bacterium. RNAcentral describes it as "partial 16S ribosomal RNA". It matches the Rfam family "Bacterial small subunit ribosomal RNA", at positions 28 to 523 of the family's 1533-position model. The record is from RNAcentral.
GACGAACGCUGGCGGCGUGCUUGACACAUGCAAGUCGAACGAUGAACCCGGAGCUUGCUCCGGUGGAUUAGUGGCGAACGGGUGAGUAACACGUGAGUAACCUGCCCUUGACUCUGGGAUAACUGCGGGAAACUGUAGCUAAUACCGGAUACGACCCUCGGCGGCAUCGCCAGAGGGUGGAAAGAAUUUCGGUCAAGGAUGGACUCGCGGCCUAUCAGCUAGUUGGUGAGGUAACGGCUCACCAAGGCGACGACGGGUAGCCGGCCUGAGAGGGUGACCGGCCACGCUGGGACUGAGACACGGCCCAGACUCCUACGAGAGGCAGCAGUGGGGAAUAUUGCACAAUGGGCGCAAGCCUGAUGCAGCAACGCCGCGUGAGGGAUGACGGCCUUCGGGUUGUAAACCUCUUUUAGUAGGGAAGAAGCGAAAGUGACGGUACCUGCAGAAAAAGCACCGGCUAACUACGUGCCAGCCGCCGCCGUAA